This 301-nucleotide ribosomal RNA is filed under the name uncultured bacterium. RNAcentral describes it as "partial 16S ribosomal RNA". It matches the Rfam family "Bacterial small subunit ribosomal RNA", at positions 509 to 807 of the family's 1533-position model. The record is from RNAcentral.
CAGUCGCCGCGGUAAUACGAAGGGGGCUAGCGUUGUUCGGAUUUACUGGGCGUAAAGGGCGCGUAGGCGGGCGAAUAAGUCAGGGGUGAAAUCCCAAGGCUCAACCUUGGAACUGCCUUUGAUACUGUUUGUCUUGAGUUCGAGAGAGGUAAGUGGAACUGCGAGUGUAGAGGUGAAAUUCGUAGAUAUUCGCAAGAACACCAGUGGCGAAGGCAGCUUACUGGCUCGAAACUGACGCUGAGGCGCGAAAGCGUGGGGAGCAAACAGGAUUAGAUACCCCCGUAGUCCCUGUCUCUUAUAC